UUUCCCAAGACCGGGGUUUGGUUGCAUUCCUACCUGAUGCGAGUUUUCCACUUGUGAUGUGGGGUUGAUAACACCUUCCCUGACAAUCCAUAGAGAUAGAUGCAAGGACCAAACGAGGAACCCAGAAACGCUUUGUCAGCUAUGCAGUGCUGUCCACGUGCAGAGAACCGAAAUUAUGAUUUUUUUUCCAGGUGCCUCUUUGUCCUCAAGGGUCAAGGAUUAGUCAAGAACCGAACUAGAUUUAGCCGGGCAGCAAUCUCUCCCAGUGCCGAACACCUAGUGCGGACCAGGCACUUCAUCUGCCUGUCUCUGGUCUUCCAGACUACCCUGUGAAGUAUUAUCCACGGCAGCCAGGAGACCUAGAAGUACGCACAGAUAAGACCUGGUUUACUGAUAGCACAUUACAAAGCGUACCAAGUAAUCGUGCAUCCAGACUCUCCCGCCCUACAAAUCAUACAACCCGAUUUCACAGAAGAGAGAACUGAGGUUCAGAGAUGGGAAAAGUCUGCCUCAGGGGCUCCCGGCUAGGAAGCAACAGGGUGAGGACUAGUGUGCGGGCAUUUCUGACUCCAAAGCCAGGGUGUCUUGUCCCCGCCCCAAUCUGCUGUCAGGUAAAAGAUGGCAGGACUUGCCGAGGGAGCUGAAGGGUGACGGCUGGAGGGGCUGAUCCCCAAUGAUGAGCGAGGUAACAGUUCCCACAGUGGCUAAACAAAGAGCCCUUGCAGUCCGGCUGCCUGGGUUCGAGUCUUGUUCUGUCCCUUCUUAGUUCUGUGCCCUCAGGCAAGGCACUGGUCCUCCCUGAGCCUCAGUUUCCUCGUCUGUAAAAUGGGGAUGGUAAUAAUGUUGCCCACCUCGCUGUGUUGUUGGAGGGUUAAAUUAGAAGCGUGUGGCACACAGCAAGCACAGUGAAAGUCUUGCCUCUUAUUUGCUGGCACCUUGUAUGACAUUUGGUAGAGGCCUCCUGUCUCGUCUACUAUUAAUACUGCCUUUAUAGCACUGCGUGUUCCGGAGCCUGGCCACCUGGGCUCUGCCACUUGCUAGCUGUGUGGUCUAGAGCUUAGAGGGAGACUGAAGGUCAGGCUCAUGAAGUUUAAGCCUUGGGUCGCUCCCUUGCGAGGCCUUGUGCAUCAUUUUGUAUUCAUAAUUUCCUAUUAUUUUUCUUACCGGGGUUCCCCAGUGUGGUAUACGCUCUACUCACAUCCUGCAAAGUGUGGAUCCGCCCCUGUGUGCGCAACACGCUCGGCCUCUCCGGUGCCUCAGUUUUCUCAUCUGUUAAGUGGAAAGAGUGUUACAGUGCUGAUGAAGUGAAUGAAUACGUUUAGGACGCUUGACAAGUGCCUGGCACGUUGUUAAGUCCCCGAUAGCUGUCGGCUUCUCAAGUGAAUCUCCAGCUAGUGAAUGUGCUAAAUGCUAGUAAAUGUGCUUCGUGGUUUACAUUGGUCAUGUUAUUUAAUUAUGCUUAAUUGUCACAACAACCCCUCCCAUUUUACAGGUGAGAAAACAGAGGCUCGGAGAGGUGAGGUCACAGAGCUUGGAAGCCACACGGGUCUGAUGCCAGGGCCAUGCCCCUUAACUAUUGCCCUGAUACCUCCCUGUUUAUGAGGGGCGCCUGGCAGCUGAACCUGAAAGGACUUGGGUCACACCGCAGCCAGGCACUGCCUGCCAGGUCACUUGCAGGGAAUCCACGAGGCCCCUGCCGGGAAGAGCUCCCCGUCCCCCCCAAGUCCAGCUGGGCCCCCCUGGCUCUGCCACACCUAGUGCCCUCGUCCCUCCUGCCCCCUAGAGCUUCCUCUUGAGCCCCUGUCACCAGAGGCCCUGGCCCAGGUGGGGCGGGGGCCAACGGGUGACAAUGACCGAUUUAGAAAGUAAAGUUGCUUCUCAAACAAAUAAGAAAGAAGAGGAAAGAAAGAAAUGGCCUGCCCGCUUCCUGCCCCACUCUCUCUCCCAGCACCUGGGGCCCAGCUGUGAGCUUUUCACUGCUUGUUUGUUCAUCCUGCUCGAGGAGCCUCUUCUUAAAGCUCCAGGCCCCCUCCACGGGGGCGGCGGGAUGACUGUGGAGCCCAUGGAAAUAAGCACCCUCUAUGAUUGUUGUAUUGUCGCCGUCUAGAGUAUUGUUUUGGACAACAAUACCAAUAAUCAUAACAAUCUGGGUUUCCUGCAGUUGGCAGAGGGGGGGUUAUGGGCUUCGACUUGGGUGUGGCCGUCCUGGCUGCGAUUUCUGAGGUGUGAAGGCCUGCGCAGGUCAUUAGCUCUCUCUGGGCCUCAGUUUCCUUGCCUGCAAAGUGGGAAUGGGGGCAUGGUGAGCACCGGAGGAGGCAAGCAAGAGCGCGUACCACGCAGGGCACGGCCGCUGCUCAGUCGGUUACCAAAGCCAGGGUCACCCAAGAGCACGACUUUAAGAGCCUCCCCAGACGGGGUGGGAAAACUCGGUGGACUAGGAGGGGGUGAUAACGCCUGUUGUGUUCUAGCCUCCGUUGUAAGGGCUUUAUGUACAACAACUCACUUCAUCCUUACCACGCCGCGUGCGUGCAUACUGCCACCCCUGUGUUACAGAUGAGAUGAAGACACCCAAGAGUGAUUUGCCCAAGGUCAGUGCAUCCGGCAGGUGCAGAGCCAGGCCGAACCCAGCCUGUCCCGCUCCAAAACCGGCUCUCUUCUUAGGGGCAUACGCUGCCCCGGGGGCAGGUCUGGCUGCAUAGGGUCUGCUUUGCUGCGUCACCGUGGACAAGCCCUUUCCUUCUCAGCCUCAGUUCUUGCUCUGCAAGCUGAACAGCCCACGGUACCUGCCUCCAGACAGCAUACAGCCCGCAGGGAAAGUCAUGGUCAGAUUUAGUGACCGUCUAGAGAAAGACAACGAAUGAACAUAUCAGGGGCUCUGGAAGCCACGGCUGCCGCUGCCGUAAUUAUUAUUAGUUUUAGAGCCACAGGCGAGAGUCAGGCUAGAGGAUGCUGAGGGCCCUGCCCAGCUCUGCAAAUCUAAAUCCUGUGGUUGCAGCUGGGGAGUGACUCUAGGAGGCACCUGGUGAGAGGUGGCUCUACCCGUUGGGGCUAAAAUAAUCCCUGAGGCUGCCACCAUGCAAUCUGCCACUCACCUGCUCUAAUUAAUGGCAAACUCACCAACCCUGCCUCUCUGCCUCACUCCCAUCCCCCACGAGCUGUGUGGCCCUGGAGAAAUCACUCGACCUCUCUGAGACAGGAAAAGGACAUGACCCUGCAGAAUUUUGAUGGAUUAGAGAUAAUGCAGACAGAGUACUCAGCACAGUGCCUGAUGUGUAGUUGAGAAGAGGUGAUGAGAACCUGAGUUUGGGGGCCGACCCGCGUUCCAUUCCCGGCUACACCAUUUCCUACUGUGUACCCUCGGGCAAGUUCCUUGCACUCUCUGAGCCUGGAAAAUGGGUUAGCACAGCACCCGGCAUACAGUAGUUGUUUACCUAACGAUUGUGGUUGGUGGUGACCGUGUCUUGCCCUCUAUAAAGAUGUCCAGAGGCCUUCAAAGAUCCCAGGGGUAUAAUGUUCUCCACAGUGCUGUGUUUCUCUGUUUGCCCCUCUAGAACUCCCCUCUGCCCUUCUCCAUCCUGUUCUGUGCCCUGGCAGGUGAACUCUGGGGUGCCAUCAAUGGCCUCUUUUGCCCUCUGGUUCUGGUUGGGUGGGGCAGGAAGGCAGAGGGCAGGUGGAGAAUGGGGCAUAGUGAUUCCCCCAGCCCCUUGCUACAGGGUCGCACGGGUUGGCUGUGUCCCUCACCCAAAGGCUCUGGCUCCUGGUAGGCGACCCCGUGCAUACAUCUCUGGCCCUGAGUCCGGGUCGCUUCUCCCUCUUCACCCUUCAGGCCAUGGGUGGUAACGGCCCCCCACUGUGGCCAGCCCUGGGAUACUGCACCAUCCCUCCCGGUCUCCCUGAAUCCUGCCUGCGACUUUGGUAAUAGUCUCUUGAUUAAACCCUCUUCAAACUUCUCAACUUGAGUGUACCGUCUGUUUCCUGCCAAGGCCCUGCUCAUGGUUUUAGUGUGACCUGUAUCCUGUUGUAUUCGUCAAGGACUCCAGGUAGAAUAGCAAAACUUCACCCUGCUUUCACAUGUACAUACGUAUCCACUUGAGUAACUUUGGCUGAGUAUCUGCUGUGUGCCAGGCCCCGUACAGGCAGCCGGGAGCAGAGAUAACCGAGCUAGAGCUCCUGACCCCAAGGAGUUCAUGGACUAGAUGGGGAGACAGACGCCUAAACAGACAACCACAAUAUUUGCUAAGAAGCCGUUAUAGAAGCGUGUUCAAACCCUGAGGCAAGAGAAACCCUCAAACUCUGAGGGAGGCUGGGAAGGCUGCAUAGCAGAGGGACCUCCUCAAAGGUAAAAAAAAAUUCUUAAUAACAUAUUUUAUCUAACCCAAUAUUUCAAGGUAUUAUCAAUGUAUAAUAUCACUUAAAAGUGAUACAAAAAUCCUUAAGAAUUUUAACAUUUUUUCCCCUAAGUCUUAAGCAGUCCAGUGCGUUUUUUACAUGCACGGCACGUCUCCGCUCGGCUGGUCCCCGUUUCAGGUGCUCAGGAGCCACAGGGGGCUGUUUCCCCCCACUUUACAGAUGAGGAAGCAGAGACUCAGGAGUUAAGUCACUUGUCCGAGGUCCCACUCCCCGAUGGGGGCAUGAUGUGAACCCACGUCUCCGUAGCUCCAAAGCCUGUCUCUUCCCGCUGCCCUGUUCUGUCUCUGGGCCAACCCCUGCUCCCCAGAGUGAAGACCUGGCCGAGGGCUAAAAAGUUAAAACUUCACCUGAGGUGAACUUCACCUCUGACCCCAAAUCCUGUAAUGUUUCUACAUCGGUUGAGUCCAUGGGACAGAGUGGGGGAGGGUAACCCACCAAACUGGGUUCUGACCCCUGUUCGGUCUAGGGUCCCUGGGAGGGCGUGAAGAUAGGCUGGCAGGAGAGAACUGGGGACGACUGGUGAGUUGUAAGAAUCUCUUGCCGGGGGAGCUGUUAAUGGCUGGAAGGCACGGCCUGCGUUGGACGGGGGGUCUGCAGAGGUCACAGACUAGGCUCACCAGACGGUAGCCAGCAGGUCAACUUGGCGUCUUCGCCUCCACCACCCUCAGCGGUUCCUCCCUAGGCAAAACGCCGUAUCAUCCAGAAACACCCACUCCUGAGUAUGUAGGGUCACAGUGAAUAAGUCACUGUCAUUUUCACACCGACGCGGGGGAAAUUUCGAUGGGAUGAUAAAGGUAAGGCCUUCUUCUUCUUUUUUUUUUGUAAUAUUUAUUUCUUUUUGAGAGACAGAGACAGAGCUUGAGUCGGGGAGAGGCAGAGAGAGAGGGAGACACAGAAUCCGAAGAAGGCUCCAGGCUCCGAGCUGUCAGCACAGGGCCCGACGCGGGACUCGAACCCACGAACUGUGAGAUCAUGACCUGAGCCCAAGUCAGGUGCUUAACCGACUGAGCCACCCGGGCAGCCCGACUCUAGGCCCCACUUCCCCAUCCAUACUCAGCAACACUGGAAGCCAGACGCUCUCAACCCCUUAGUGCCUGGCACGGCCCUGGGCCUGGGGAAGGGGACCUUCCCUGUUGCCACGGCACGCCUGCGCUGUCCCCACGGACAAUCAGAUUGGUAGAGCUUUCUCGUGCUCUUCCCAUCGUCCCACGGAAAACCCACCACAGUUCCGGAGGACUGGCGUCACCGCCCCUUUUUACAGAAAAGGGGGCUCGGAGCGGGGAAGGGGCCUGCCUAGAGUCACACAGCUCGAGUGCAGCGGAGCCAGCAUCCUGAGUCACCAUUCUGAACCUGAUCUGAGACACCAGGCGGCACCUCACGUAGCCUUGAAUGUUCUGGCCCCAGGCCGAUGUUGUGCCAUUGAAGGCAGGGGCUGCUGACAGGUAGGUUAGGCAGGGACGGGAACGUUGGGGGAAGGACCCUGAAAAGGAAACCCCGGAGAUUGUUUUCACCUGGAAGGGCUCCGCCCCGCCCAGCAAUGGAAAAUGUGUGUCAGAGGAAGCCGCUGGCUGGGGAUGGGACAGAUGGGGCGACUGUCCUAUGAAAGCUGUCCCCACGCCCUACCUCCCAGAUCCCCCUGGCCAAUUCGCUCUGCUCGGUAGUUACCGCAGCAAGCAUUUAUUGCGCUCCUGCUGCAUGCUCAGAUGCGGGGAUGCAGGAUGGCCUCUUCCCUGCCCAGAGAAGUGCACAACCUGGUGAAGACAGAAAUAUGACGAGACAGGGCCAUUGUGACAAGGUACCGCAAAGCCGGGGUUAAGACAACACCGACUUAUUCACUCUCUGUUCUGGAGGUUCGAGGAUUGAAAUCGAGGUACCAUCAGGGUCACCUUGUCGAAGACUCUGGGUAGAAACCUUCCUUGCCUCCACUAGCUUCUGGUGGCCAUCAGUCUGUGGCAUUCCGUGGUGGUCCCAUCUCUGCCUCUGUCAACAACAGUGUUCCCCUUGUGUGGUUCUCUCCUCUUCUUAGGAGGACACCGGUCAGAUUGGACUAAGGGCCAACCCCGCUCCAAUACGACCUCAUCUGAAGUAAUUACAUCUGCAGCAACCUUCUUCCCAAAUAAGGUCACAUGCUGGGGUGCUGAGAGUCGAGGCUUCAACAUAACUUUUGUGGGGACGUAACCCAGCCUAUAACAGAUGUCCUUAAAGUGCUUGUCAUAUAGAUAAAUGUCAAAUCUGGGGGGAAAAAAAUCCUAUGCACAUCUCACGUCACAGUUUGAGAUUUAGGAAAUCUGGCCUCGGCAUGUCUGUCCCCCACACUAAUCCUUUGCCCUAGUGAGUACUAAAUAAAUGUUUGGGAAAUACUUGA
Long non-coding RNA from Neofelis nebulosa (Clouded leopard), 6775 nucleotides. RefSeq lists it as uncharacterized. Lineage: Eukaryota; Metazoa; Chordata; Mammalia; Carnivora; Felidae. The transcript has 5 exons. The record is from RefSeq and is a predicted model, not a curated record.